GUGCACGCUGGCGGUAGGCCUAACCCCUGCAAGUCGCACGGCAGCACAGUAAGAGCUUGCUCUUACGGGUGGCGAGUGGCGGACGGGUGAGGAAUACAUCGGAAUCUACUUUUUCGUGGGGGAUAACGUAGGGAAACUUACGCUAAUACCGCAUACGACCUACGGGUGAAAGCAGGGGAUCUUCGGACCUUGCGCGAUUGAAUGAGCCGAUGUCGGAUUAGCUAGUUGGCGGGGUAAAGGCCCACCAAGGCGACGAUCCGUAGCUGGUCUGAGAGGAUGAUCAGCCACACUGGAACUGAGACACGGUCCAGACUCCUACGGGAGGCAGCAGUGGGGAAUAUUGGACAAUGGGCGCAAGCCUGAUCCAGCCAUACCGCGUGGGUGAAGAAGGCCUUCGGGUUGUAAAGCCCUUUUGUUGGGAAAGAAGAGCAGCAGGUUAAUACCCCGCUGUUCUGACGGUACCCAAAGAAUAAGCACCGGCUAACUUCGUG
RNAcentral lists this ribosomal RNA (491 nucleotides) under uncultured bacterium. Its description in RNAcentral is "partial 16S ribosomal RNA". It matches the Rfam family "Bacterial small subunit ribosomal RNA", at positions 29 to 507 of the family's 1533-position model. The record is from RNAcentral.